UGGGGUAUAGCCAAGUGGUAAGGCAGCGGGUUUUGAUCCCGCCAUUCCUAGGUUCGAAUCCUAGUACCCCAGCCA
This 75-nucleotide transfer RNA is filed under the name Aliidiomarina sanyensis. RNAcentral describes it as "tRNA-Gln". It matches the Rfam family "tRNA". From Rfam's summary of the family: Transfer RNA (tRNA) molecules are approximately 80 nucleotides in length. Their secondary structure includes four short double-helical elements and three loops (D, anti-codon, and T loops). The record is from RNAcentral. Lineage: Bacteria; Pseudomonadati; Pseudomonadota; Gammaproteobacteria; Alteromonadales; Idiomarinaceae.